GAGCCCAACCUCCCACCCGUGUUUACUGUAACCUUAGUUGCUUCGGCGGGCCCGCCUUUAAGGCCGCCGGGGGGCAUCAGCCCCCGGGCCCGCGCCCGCCGGAGACACCACGAACUCKGUCUGAUCUAGUGAAGUCGGAGUUGAUUGUAUCGCAAUCAGUGAAAACUUUCAACAAUGGAUCUCUUGGUUCCGGCAUCGAUGAAGAACGCAGCGAAAUGCGAUAACUAGUGUGAAUUGCAGAAUUCCGUGAAUCAUCGAGUCUUUGAACGCACAUUGCGCCCCCUGGUAUUCCGGGGGGCAUGCCUGUCCGAGCGUCAUUGCUGCCCAUCAAGCACGGCUUGUGUGUUGGGUCGUCGUCCCCUCUUCGGGGGGGACGGGCCCCAAAGGCAGCGGCGGCACCGCGUCCGAUCCUCGAGCGUAUGGGGCUUUGUCACCCGCUCUGUAGGCCCCGGCCGGCGCUUGCCGAACGCAAAACAACCAUUCUUUCCAGGUUGACCUCGGAUCAGGUAGGGAUACCCGCUGAACUUAAGCAUAUCAAUAAGCGGAGGAAM
Molecule: ribosomal RNA, 551 nt
Filed under: Aspergillus sp. NOF11
Lineage: Eukaryota; Fungi; Ascomycota; Eurotiomycetes; Eurotiales; Aspergillaceae
Description: eukaryotic LSU rRNA
Rfam family: 5.8S ribosomal RNA (bases 164-317)
Source: RNAcentral